Molecule: non-coding RNA, 23 nt
Filed under: Arabidopsis thaliana (thale cress)
Lineage: Eukaryota; Viridiplantae; Streptophyta; Magnoliopsida; Brassicales; Brassicaceae
Source: RNAcentral
ACCAGUUGAGGUUCUUGAGCGUA